AACUGAAACCCCUAUCAUUAUCUUCCAUUUUAUCAUAUUCCUACAACUCUCUCAAAAUUAUUCACAUCAUGUCAUUUACCGGCGACUUACGUCAUUUGCCGCCCAACACAAUCGGAGAUGAUCCUAUGGUUCCACUGCUCAACCUCUCCGCCGUUCAAACACGAAUGGAUUCCCUCCAGAAAUUUCUCUCAGAUUCGGUCAACUCCAAUACUUUACUUGGUCAACACCAGAUGAACAUGGUUUCCGACGAAAUCACCUCCGCAAUCCAUCAGAUUAUUGUCAACGGCGCCGCUCUACUCUCAUCUGCCCAGUUGACAAAUCCUCCUCCGCCUCCGCCUCCGCGGCCGUCGUCGUCGGCUGAAUUGAAAAUAAAUCUAAAAUCGAAUCAUAAGAGAUCGUUUCCGGAAUUUGAUCGGAGAGAUUUCGAGUCGAAAGUAGAGGUAUUAGACGAAGAAGAGGAAGACGGUGGCGAUUGGGAGAUUAUUGAGCUAGAUGCGGUUGAGCUACUAGCGGAGCACAUCCACUUUUGUGAUUUCUGCGGAAAAGGAUUCAAACGAGAUGCGAAUUUACGGAUGCAUAUGAGAGCUCAUGGAAAUCAGUACAAAACACCAGAAGCAUUAGCAAAACCUGAAAAAUGCAUCGAUUCAUCGAAUUCGAAUAAACGAAGGAGAUUUUCGUGUCCUUUCAUCGGUUGUACCCGCAACAAAUCGCAUAACAAAUUUCGGCCAUUGAAAUCGGCGAUUUGCGUUAAGAAUCACUUCAAGAGAAGUCACUGUCCCAAAAUGUACUCAUGCACUCGUUGUAACAAAAAAAGUUUCUCCGUACUCGCAGAUUUGAAAAGCCAUUUGAAGCACUGUGGAGAGACGAAAUGGAAGUGUUCUUGUGGUACGAGCUUUUCCCGG
This 902-nucleotide unclassified non-coding RNA is filed under the name Hevea brasiliensis (rubber tree). The record is from RNAcentral. Lineage: Eukaryota; Viridiplantae; Streptophyta; Magnoliopsida; Malpighiales; Euphorbiaceae.